GAAAACCUGUCCCAGUUCGGACUGGAGUCUGCAACCCGACUCCACGAAGUUGGAUUCGCUAGUAAUCGCGCAUCAGCCAUGGCGCGGUGAAUACGUUCCCGGGCCUUGUACACACCGCCCGUCAAGCCAUGGGAGCCGGGGGCGCCUGAAGUCCGGGACCGCGAGGACCGGCCUAGGGCGAAACUGGUGACUGGGGCUAAGUCGUAACAAGGUAGC
Molecule: ribosomal RNA, 216 nt
Filed under: uncultured bacterium
Lineage: Bacteria
Description: partial 16S ribosomal RNA
Rfam family: Bacterial small subunit ribosomal RNA
Source: RNAcentral